Molecule: ribosomal RNA, 490 nt
Filed under: uncultured bacterium
Lineage: Bacteria
Description: partial 16S ribosomal RNA
Rfam family: Bacterial small subunit ribosomal RNA
Source: RNAcentral
AGUGAACGCUGGCGGUAGGCCUAACACAUGCGAGUCGAACGGCAGCACAGGAGAGCUUGCUCUCUGGGUGGCGAGUGGCGGACGGGUGAGGAAUACAUCGGAAUCUGCCCAGUCGUGGGGGAUAACGUAGGGAAACUUACGCUAAUACCGCAUACGACCUUCGGGUGAAAGAGGGGGAUCGCAAGACCUCUCGCGAUUGGAUGAGCCGAUGUCGGAUUAGCUAGUUGGCGGGGUAAUGGCCCACCAAGGCGACGAUCCGUAGCUGGUCUGAGAGGAUGAUCGGCCACACUGGAACUGAGACACGGUCCAGACUCCUACGAGAGGCAGCAGUGGGGAAUAUUGGACAAUGGGCGCAAGCCUGAUCCAGCCAUACCGCGUGGGUGAAGAAGGCCUUCGGGUUGUAAAGCCCUUUUGUUGGGAAAGAAAUCUUUCAGGCUAAUACCCUGGGAGGAUGACGGUACCCAAAGAAUAAGCACCGGCUAACUUCGUG